CAGAGGUCUCAAGCGUUGUUCGGAUUCAUUGGGCGUAAAGGGUGCGUAGGUGGCGCGCUAAGUCAGGUGUGAAAUUUCGGAGCUUAACUCCGAAACUGCAUUUGAUACUGGCGUGCUUGAGGACUGGAGAGGAGACUGGAAUUCACGGUGUAGCAGUGAAAUGCGUAGAGAUCGUGAGGAAGACCAGUGGCGAAGGCGGGUCUCUGGACAGUUCCUGACACUGAGGCACGAAGGCCAGGGGAGCAAACGGGAUUAGAUACCCCGGUAGUCCUGGCAGUAAACGGUGCACGUUUGGUGUGGGAGGAUUCGACCCCUUCUGCGCCGGAGCUAACGCGUUAAACGUGCCGCCUGGGGAGUACGGUCGCAAGAUUA
This 372-nucleotide ribosomal RNA is filed under the name uncultured organism. RNAcentral's name for it is "bacterial SSU rRNA". It matches the Rfam family "Bacterial small subunit ribosomal RNA", at positions 526 to 896 of the family's 1533-position model. The record is from RNAcentral.